RNAcentral lists this ribosomal RNA (489 nucleotides) under uncultured bacterium. RNAcentral describes it as "partial 16S ribosomal RNA". It matches the Rfam family "Bacterial small subunit ribosomal RNA", at positions 29 to 507 of the family's 1533-position model. The record is from RNAcentral.
GUGAACGCUGGCGGCAGGCCUAACCCAUGCACGUCGAACGGCAGCACCAGAGAGCUUGCUCUCUGGGUGGCGAGUGGCGGACGGGUGAGGAAUGCAUCGGAAUCUGCCCAUUUGUGGGGGAUAACCUCGGGAAACCGGGACUAAUACCGCAUACGACCUACGGGUGAAAGCAGGGGAUCUUCGGACCUUGCGCAGAUGGAUGAGCCGAUGCCGGAUUAGCUAGUUGGAGGGGUAAAGGCCCACCAAGGCGACGAUCCGUAGCUGGUCUGAGAGGAUGAUCAGCCACACUGGGACUGAGACACGGCCCAGACUCCUACGGGAGGCAGCAGUGGGGAAUAUUGGACAAUGGGCGCAAGCCUGAUCCAGCCAUGCCGCGUGUGCGAAGAAGGCCUUCGGGUUGUAAAGCACUUUUGUUGGGAAAGAAAAGCAGCCGGUUAAUACCCGGUUGUCAUGACGGUACCCAAAGAAUAAGCACCGGCUAACUUCGUA